CCUACGGGGGGCAGCAGUGAGGAAUAUUGGUCAAUGGGCGGGAGCCUGAACCAGCCAAGCCGCGUGAGGGAAGAAGGUACAGCGUAUCGUAAACCUCUUUUGUCAGGGAACAAAGGCGGGGACUAGUCCCCGGAUGAGGGUACCUGAAGAAAAAGCAUCGGCUAACUCCGUGCCAGCAGCCGCGGUAAUACGGAGGAUGCGAGCGUUAUCCGGAUUUAUUGGGUUUAAAGGGUGCGCAGGCGGCGAGUUAAGUCAGCGGUAAAAUUUCGGGGCUCAACCCCGACGAGUCGUUGAAACUGGCUUGC
RNAcentral lists this ribosomal RNA (305 nucleotides) under uncultured bacterium. RNAcentral describes it as "bacterial SSU rRNA". It matches the Rfam family "Bacterial small subunit ribosomal RNA", at positions 338 to 641 of the family's 1533-position model. The record is from RNAcentral.